Long non-coding RNA from Varanus komodoensis (Komodo dragon), 1781 nucleotides. RefSeq lists it as uncharacterized. The record is from RefSeq and is a predicted model, not a curated record. The transcript has 4 exons. NCBI's taxonomy places the organism in Eukaryota, Metazoa, Chordata, Lepidosauria, Squamata, Varanidae.
UGGCCCCUUCCGCCCCGAGGCUGCCCUGCGAGGCGGGGGGCUGCCGGGCAAGUAAGAGGCGAGCGCUUUUGCCCCACUUCCUGCAGGGGAAGCCGCUGCCCAAGCUGGAAAAGUACCUGGCAGGGAGAGCGCUUCCAGCGCAGCGCAGCGGAAAGAGGAAACGGAUGACGCAAAGGAGAGCCGAGGGGGCGCUGAGGCAGGGCGGGGAGGGCGACCCGCCGCAAAGGGGCUGCAUCCGCCCUGCCUUCCCAGCCCGUCCUGAAGAGAGAAGUCACAGCUCGAGGCUGCAGGCCGGCGUUUCCUUGCCGGGGAGGAAGGCUUGGAAAGUUUUGGAGCUGGAAGAUGGAGAGCCAGGCUGGAGGAGCUCCCGGCUCAUAGACACGCGCUUGGAUCGCCACGUGUGGCGUUUCCAUGGCCACGUGCCCCACGACUUUGUUCUCUGUCUCACAGCAGGCCUGAGUUGGACAGUCUGGCCGAAGAGACCAUGCGAAGGAGGCAGAUCUGUUCGAGGAUGCCAAAGGCACCUGGUGAAGAGAGGUCCUGUGUAGGAUUGGCAAAUUUGUGACCAGAAACUUGAGGGAAGGCGGAAUACUUGCAUCCAGAGACUGGCUCGUGGCAUUAAUCCUGCAAUUCUUAUACACUUACCUGAGAUGCUUUGGCGGUUCCAGGUCAUACGCUUGCUGGACUGGCAUGUCAGGGCCAGGAGUCAGGGAGAAUGCGAGCCAAACUCAGGCAGUGGCAAGCUGUGGCAGGAGUGGAGGCUGAGGUUUCGUCAGGAACAGAUGAGUGCAAAAUACGUGACUUUCAAAUGAGUUAGGGGGUCCUGGCUCAUUCAGAUGGAAAGGUGUUGGACCUCCGGCCCACCAAGGGUCUCCAUCUUUCUGGGUGGCUCUACCCUUCCACUCAACAGCCCUCACUCUUGGGCUUUUUCCUGUCUUUGCGCAGCUUUCCCGCAUUCUAGAAGUGGAAAUUCCUUCCCCAAAAGCUUAAGCCAUAGGUAGCCUUGAGCUAAGCUGUGUUGGAAGUUCUGGCACUUUCUCCCCUUCUGCCUCACCCUUGGGAGCGUUUCUCAAGUUGAAUUUAGCCCUUGAAUUAGGCUAUGGUUAGGUCUGAGAUCUGGCUAGCAGGUGUCUGCAGCUGAAGCAUGUGGCCCUGGCGUGAUGGAGGUCUCUUGAGGCCUUCAUCUUGGAAGACACUCAUUCCUGGGGUCACCCUAAAUUGGAGAUGACUUGACAGCAAAGAACCAGGUGUCUAUCUCAGAAUUAGACACUAGAGGGCUGCAUUGGACUGGUUUUCAAGCAAGGCAGCUUUUGCCCCGACUGAUUUGGGACCACCCAUGCGGGUUAGAGGCCCAGACUCAAGGGGGACUACAGGAACUGGUGGCCUGGAUUCGCUUUUGCAAAGGAGAGCUUGGGAUGCUUUGGUGCCAUCACCGUGCUGAUGUUUUAGAAAGUGAAACCUAGAGGGAAGGUCCAGUGGAAGGCAGUGGUCUGGCUUACGAAGGGAUUCUUGCUGCGCAUCUUGCAGCUCCUCUGCUCCUUUGCCCCCCCCCCACUCCCCAAAGCCAUCUCCUGCUGAGAUGGACCAUCAGCCCCUCAGCUGAAGGACUGCCCACUCUGACUGGAGGCUGCCAAGCAAUGUUUUAGGCCAAAAGUGUGGAACCAAUGGCUCUCCAGUGGUUGUUGGACUCCAGAUCCCAUCAUGGAUUCUGGCUCUCCCAUCAUUUAUGUUAUUAAUUUUAUUAUUUUAUUUAUUUUUGGAUUUAUAUCCUGCCUUUCUCC